ACUUUAUACCUUAUUUUUGGAUUCUGAUCAGCAAUAAUUGGAUUAAGAUUAAGAGUAAUUAUUCGAAUAGAAUUAGGUACUCCUGGGUCAUUUAUUGGAAAUGACCAAGUUUAUAAUGUAAUUGUUACUUCACACGCAUUUAUUAUAAUUUUUUUUAUAUUAAUACCUGUUACAAUAGGAGGAUUUGGAAAUUGAUUAAUUCCUCUUUUAUUAGGAGCACCAGAUAUAGCUUUUCCACGAUUAAAUAACUUUAGAUUUUGAAUACUUCCUCCUGCAUUAACAUUACUAUUAAUUUCAUCUUCAGUAGAAAGAGGAGCUGGAACAGGAUGAACUGUGUAUCCUCCUCUUUCUAGAAAUAUUGCUCAUUCAGGAGUACCUGUUGAUUUAGCCAUUUUUUCUCUUCACAUUGCUGGGGUAUCAUCAAUUUUAAGAUCUCUUAAUUUUAUAGCUACUAUAAAAAAUAUGCGUCCUAAAUUAAUAAAAUACGAAAACAUACCACUAUUUUUAUGAAGAGCAUUAAUUACUGCAUUUUUAUUAGUUGCAUCUUUACCAGUAUUAGCAGGAGCUAUUACUAUAUUAUUACUAGAUCGAAACUUUAAUACUUCUUUUUUUGACCCUGCAGGAGGAGGGGAUCCUAUUUUAUACCAACAUUUAUUU
Molecule: ribosomal RNA, 657 nt
Filed under: uncultured Pseudomonas sp.
Lineage: Bacteria; Pseudomonadati; Pseudomonadota; Gammaproteobacteria; Pseudomonadales; Pseudomonadaceae
Description: partial 16S ribosomal RNA
Source: RNAcentral